Molecule: ribosomal RNA, 468 nt
Filed under: uncultured bacterium
Lineage: Bacteria
Description: partial 16S ribosomal RNA
Rfam family: Bacterial small subunit ribosomal RNA
Source: RNAcentral
GACGAACGCUGGCGGCGUGCUUAACACAUGCAAGUCGAACGGACAGGCCCUGCUUUUGUGGGUUGCUCGAAUGGCGAACGGGUGAGUAACACGUGAGUAACCUGCCCUUGACUUUGGGAUAACUUCAGGAAACUGGGGCUAAUACCCGAUAGGAGCUCCUGCUGCAUGGUGUGGGUUGGUAAGUUUCGGCUGUUGUGGAUGGUCUCGCGGCUUAUCCGCUUGUUGGUGGGGUAGUGGCUUACCAAGGUUUUGACGGGUAGGCGGCCUGAGAGGGUGACCGGCCACAUUGGGACUGAGAGACGGCCCAGACGGCUACGGGAGGCAGCAGUGGGGAAUAUUGCACAAUGGGCGGAAGACUGAUGCAGAAACGCCGCGUGCGGGAUGACGGCCUUCGGGGUGUAAACCGCUUUCGCCUGUGACGAAGAGUGAGUGACGGUAAUGGGUAAAGAAGCACCGGCUAACUACGUG